CCCUUAGAUGUCCUGGGCCGCACGCGCGCUACACUGAUGCAUUCAACGAGCUUUACCUUGGCCGAGAGGCCUGGGCAAUCUUUUAAACCUGCAUCGUGAUAGGGAUAGAUUAUUGCAAUUAUUAAUCUUGAACGAGGAAUUCCUAGUAAACGCAAAUCAUCAAUUUGCAUUGAUUACGUCCCUGCCCUUUGUACACACCGCCCGUCGCACCUACCGAUUGAAUGGUCCGGUGAAGCCUCGGGAUUGUGGCCAGUUCACUUUAUUGGGAGUUGGCUGUGAGAACUUGUCUAAACCUUAUCAUUUAGAGGAAGGUGAAGUCGUAACA
RNAcentral lists this ribosomal RNA (325 nucleotides) under uncultured eukaryote. RNAcentral describes it as "partial 18S ribosomal RNA". It matches the Rfam family "Eukaryotic small subunit ribosomal RNA", at positions 1470 to 1796 of the family's 1831-position model. The record is from RNAcentral.